GCGCUGUGAGAGACGAGACGCACAGGGUCUCACAGAAAACCAGCUGCCUGUCAUGGUCAACCUCCAUCACUUCUGCGCUUGAGUCUGGGAGGCAAGAGGGAAGUGUGUGAGCAUCAGUGUCCAGUACAACAGGAAGAAACAGGCCUCUCCAGCCCCAGAGGGAGACGAUAACAUGAUUAGUUCUGACUGGUUGGCACUGGACUAUGUUACGGACUGGAAUGACACAAAAACUGGACUCACCCCAGCUGGAGAGCAUCAUUUUCCAUGUUUGCAUCAAAGUGUCAGGCGUGUGUUUGUGUGAAAUCCCACUUGGCGCAGUCGCUCCAGCAGGACGGGGAUGCCCGCCAGUCUCUUGGCAGUCCUCUGGUAGUCACGGUAACGAAGCACGA
Molecule: long non-coding RNA, 389 nt
Organism: Lates calcarifer (barramundi perch)
Lineage: Eukaryota; Metazoa; Chordata; Actinopteri; Centropomidae
Exons: 3
Source: RefSeq, a predicted model, not a curated record